AUCGUAUCUCCUAUCAUAAGAAAGCGCUCUUAGUUCAGUUCGGUAGAACGCGGGUCUCCAAAACCCGAUGUCGU
RNAcentral lists this transfer RNA (74 nucleotides) under Hippeastrum papilio. RNAcentral's name for it is "tRNA-Trp". The stretch from base 24 to 74 matches the Rfam family "tRNA", at positions 1 to 48 of the family's 71-position model. Rfam says of the family: Transfer RNA (tRNA) molecules are approximately 80 nucleotides in length. Their secondary structure includes four short double-helical elements and three loops (D, anti-codon, and T loops). RNAcentral also lists the same sequence under 10 other names. Lineage: Eukaryota; Viridiplantae; Streptophyta; Magnoliopsida; Asparagales; Amaryllidaceae. The record is from RNAcentral.